Molecule: long non-coding RNA, 794 nt
Organism: Lactuca sativa (garden lettuce)
Lineage: Eukaryota; Viridiplantae; Streptophyta; Magnoliopsida; Asterales; Asteraceae
Source: RefSeq, a predicted model, not a curated record
GACUCGGUAAGCAUGAUUGAUCCAAGGAGCUUACUCGUCCGUUCCAAAUAUGUGGCUGACUGGAAAGCCCCCCUCGGUCGACUUCCUCCAUUCCCAAGAUAGACUUCUUCCUCACGUAAGGUCUCUAAAAUCAAAUUUUAUUUUCCUUAUUUUCUAUGAAGUUAAAAUCUUUUUGGUCUCUAAAAUCGAUUUUGAUAUGAAGUUGAGACGAGAAAACUUUUUUCUUCAAUCAAUGUUUUCUAAAGUCUAUUUUGGUCACUGUAAUAUCAACUUAAUAACUCUAUUUUGGUGAUUGUAAUAUGAAAGGUUUUCUAUGGUCACUGUAACAUGAAAUCGCUAUCGAAGAGCAUAAUUAUUUUGAUUGAGUUUGAGGAUUUUUGGCUGAUGGAACCACACCAUUCUGUCUUAUUGAAUGUAAUUUUAGUGUUGCACAUAACCUGUUUGACAAAAAACCCAAGUGAAUAUAAUAAAUAGAAACCUCCCUUGAUGUUAUUCUUCCUAGUAUGGUUUUCUCUUAUCUUACCAUCUCUUAAACAAUUUCACUUGUGUUUUUGAUUCUGCAACUCUUACUAGACAUUUAUGUGAUGGUCAUGAUUCUUGGUUAAAGAGGAAGAAAUUUGUGGAUUUAGAAGAUGAGAAUUUGGAUAAGAAUGAGAUUAAUUGAUACAACUUCAUCUUUUAAUCGAGAAGUGAAUUUUGUUUUGAGUAAACUACACUAAUGGUACAUUAGUUAUGUGAUUGAACGAGAUUUUUUCAAUUGUAAUGCUAGCCAUGCUGAUGGUUUACUACUUUAA